RNAcentral lists this ribosomal RNA (253 nucleotides) under uncultured bacterium. Its description in RNAcentral is "partial 16S ribosomal RNA". It matches the Rfam family "Bacterial small subunit ribosomal RNA", at positions 524 to 776 of the family's 1533-position model. The record is from RNAcentral.
UACGUAGGGUGCAAGCGUUGUCCGGAAUUAUUGGGCGUAAAGAGCUCGUAGGCGGUUUGUCGCGUCGGCUGUGAAAGCCCGGAGCUCAACUCCGGGUCUGCAGUCGAUACGGGCAGACUUGAGUGUUGCAGGGGAGACUGGAAUUCCUGGUGUAGCGGUGAAAUGCGCAGAUAUCAGGAGGAACACCGGUGGCGAAGGCGGGUCUCUGGGCAACAACUGACGCUGAGGAGCGAAAGCGUGGGGAGCGAGCAGG